Molecule: small RNA, 1048 nt
Filed under: Oryza sativa Japonica Group (Japanese rice)
Lineage: Eukaryota; Viridiplantae; Streptophyta; Magnoliopsida; Poales; Poaceae
Description: sRNA Os03g0120425
Source: RNAcentral
ACAUGAUGGAGCAGGCGUUGACGUCGUCGUCGUUGAAGAGGUUGCUGACGGGGUCGGCGCCGCGGUGGGGCUCCGGGAGGUGGCCGUGCUUGUCGCCGUUGUAGCCGUGGCGGUAGUAGUUGUAGCUGGGGCGGAAGGACUCCUCGUCGUGGAAGUAGUCCUUGGCCGACGUGAAGUAGAGCGGCAGGUCUGGGUUUGGCCAGAACUCCGCCUUCUUCCCCGCCCGCCUCACCUCCUUCAGCACCCGCUGCCUCUCCACGUACCCCGUCACCGUCACCUUCUCCAUCUCCAACUCCACCUCCACCGAAUCAACCCCUCUGAGCUUCAUGAGAGCAUGCUUCACGACCCUCUCGCAGCCUGAGCAGCACAUCCGAACCUUGAGCUCCACUUAUUUUGCUACUGGUACGAGUACAUUUUUACUGUCUCCAACACCGGCGCAUGCGGCAAGCCGAGGGAAAAGUUUCCCUUGUCCUAUGUAAGUUGCCCUUUUUUUUUCCUUCAACCUUUUAUCGCUCUCUUUUUCGCACGCAUGCAUGAGCUUGGUUUCGCGGGCUGUUCUAGACAGCAACGUGCACAGCAGCACAGAUUAUCGCUACGAGCAUAUGCUAGGAAAUUAAUUAGCGUUAAGCUAGGAGACAGCAUCAGAAGUGGCGGACAAAAAUCUGAGGAGAAUAAUCUGAACACGACUAGUCGCAAUCGCAAUAUCGCAUAAACAAGCUAGCUUGCAAAUACGUAUUCAUCUGAACAAAGAAUAUGUCCGUCUUCUGCAUGCGUAGCAUAGCUAAACAGAGGAAGCGAGGAACAGAGCAAGCAAAGCAAGAACGAACGAGCAAGCUGAAGAAGAACAAAUACCUGCAGUGACAGUGGCCUGCUCCUGCCCAUCCUGCGUCCGGCGAGGCCACCCUCGUAGUAGUAGGUGUUGGUGCUCGUCGGGUGGCUGCUGUAGUAGUACGCGCCGGCGCGGUGGCCGUGCCGGUGGCCGCCGGUGGGGGAGAAGCAGCAGUAGAGGAACGACGACAGCGCGGAGGAGACGGUCGACAUGGCCGGC